GUCUACGGCCCUGCCACCCUGAAUGCGCCCGAUCCCGUCUGAUCUGGGAAGCGAGGCAGGGUCUGGCUUAGUUAGUACUUGGAUGGGAGACCGCCUAGGAAGACCAGGUGCUACAGGCA
RNAcentral lists this ribosomal RNA (119 nucleotides) under Pteropus alecto (black flying fox). The record is from RNAcentral. Lineage: Eukaryota; Metazoa; Chordata; Mammalia; Chiroptera; Pteropodidae.